GGAUGCGAUCAUACAGGCACUAACGCACCGGAUCCCAUCAGAACUCCUAAGUUAAGUGGGUUUGGGUGAGAGUAGUACUAGCAUAGGUGAUCCCUUGGGAAGUCCUCGUGUUGCAUCCU
Non-coding RNA from Nicotiana sylvestris (wood tobacco), 119 nucleotides. Lineage: Eukaryota; Viridiplantae; Streptophyta; Magnoliopsida; Solanales; Solanaceae. The record is from Rfam.